This 435-nucleotide ribosomal RNA is filed under the name uncultured bacterium. RNAcentral's name for it is "partial 16S ribosomal RNA". It matches the Rfam family "Bacterial small subunit ribosomal RNA", at positions 29 to 507 of the family's 1533-position model. The record is from RNAcentral.
AGCGAACGCUGGCGGCAGGCUUAACACAUGCAAGUCGAACGGGCAUCUUCGGAUGUCAGUGGCAGACGGGUGAGUAACACGUGGGAACGUACCCUUCGGUUCGGAAUAACUCAGGGAAACUUGAGCUAAUACCGGAUACGCCCUUUUGGGGAAAGGUUUACUGCCGAAGGAUCGGCCCGCGUCUGAUUAGCUUGUUGGUGGGGUAACGGCCUACCAAGGCGACGAUCAGUAGCUGGUCUGAGAGGAUGAUCAGCCACACUGGGACUGAGACCCGGCCCAGACUCCUACGGGAGGCAGCAGUGGGGAAUAUUGGACAAUGGGCGCAAGCCUGAUCCAGCCAUGCCGCGUGAGUGAUGAAGGCCUUAGGGUUGUAAAGCUCUUUUGUCCGGGACGAUAAUGACGGUACCGGAAGAAUAAGCCCCGGCUAACUUCGUG